UCCUAGGAAUGUUGCUUAAAAAAGAAAUGAUCUUUCAUAACACUUGAGCCUAAACGGACAGCCUGAGGACCAAGUUGCUAACCUCUAAUUCUGUGUCUAAAAUAAAACCACUUCGGAAUCUGCCCUCAGAUAUGGCUAAGAAUUUCUACUUAAUCCCAUAUUUGUAUAAGCAGAAACUUCCCGACCUACAGAGACCCUGUGUGCAAAUCCAUCGAUAGUCUCUCCUCAUCCCUAUGGAAAUCAGACCAUCUCACAAGUAGUGGAAACGUCAACUUUUGCCCACACUCCGCAUAGGACAGCCAAGCCAUCUUCAGAUAGCCCUGUGCCACCAGUGACUGCUACCCCGGGGGGUGGACGGUUUGCUCCCGGCACAAUUUCUGAAAGCGUAACCCUCCCCCAGAGAACGACGCCACUUUCCCAGGCCGAACCUAGCAAGACACAGUGGAUGCAACACCAAACUACGCCUGCACCAUCUGAGGGAGCCCCUGGAAACAUCACAGAACCAUCUGAUACAAGCAUUUUGCAGAGCAUUACAGGUUCUGUUUUCUUCAGAAUUGGAUUCCCUUUUUUAGUAGUGAUCAUCCUAUCAGCAGGCUUCACAUACUACUGCUGCUGUAGAAGACAACGCAAUCUUUGGAGGCAGCCCAAAGCCCCCCCUGUGGAAUUGAUCCCAAUAGACCCCACAGGAUCAGAAGAAGAAAGACCAGCAUCAGCCAGCAAUUCCCAGGAUCCAGGACCAGUUAAUGAAGAAGACCCAAUGCUAUCACCCCACAGGAUUACCUCCACCGGCUGAAUGGUGCCUCUGAGCAGAUGGUCAAGGCAACUUCUAGCCCUGGAAAGGAAGUCAUUUGCACGAUGUUGGAAAUGGUGCCCAUCCACCUCCUGUUGCAAAGCCGUCGGAAGGAGGCUGGAAAUCGCUUUUGGACUCCUACAGUUGUCCCUGGCUUGUGGGGGGAGAAUCCAGCAAGUGUAUCUGUGUAAGAAGAGGCUGAGCAUGAGAAGAGGGAAAGAGGAGGGAAGAACAUGUGAAGCGGAGUUGGAAAGGAUGGGGAAGCAAUGCCCUGGAGAGAUCAACGAAGGCAUAUGUGAGGAAGAGGAGACAAUGGAGAAGGGAUCGAAUGGGGUAGACGCUUCACCUGCAUAUCUUGGAGAGGAAAUAAGGGGAAUCUCCAGUCCGUGUGGCCAGUACAUUUUCUUGCCUGCGCCUUUCACGAUUCGAGUAACCAUCCUUUGGUUCCCAAGAAGCCAACAAUUUCAAUUGUUUCAGAAUGGGCUUUUCUUGAGGUUCGAGACCCCUGGUCCAUUAUGUGUCGGCAAGCGUCCUGACUUUCAGGUUACAUGGGGGAUGGAAAACUUUGCAGAGUCAAGUGGCGUAAGAUGCUACCAGAGGCUAGUUUUGUGAAGGAAGCAUGCACCUCCAGAACCAAGUAAUAUACUCUCCUGGUAUAAACAGAGAGAAGAUCCAAUCAACAGCCAUGGAAUACUCAAAUGAAGGUUCCCCACACGGGCUCUUUUCUCCCCACCAAUCAAGGAGAAAUAACUUUAAAGUUAACAAUUAGCAUUCCUGGAUGCUGUAAGCAUCUAAGAGGGCAGCAGCGUUAGGUAAUGGAAGGGCAUUCCUGGAGCUGUCUGGCCUGGCGCUGUGGCUGUAUCAAGGAGGAGAACCUGCCGUGGAGCCUCAGCAGGGGCCAGCGGGAUCCAAGAGAGCGAUCUGCUGAGCGAACGGCCGCUGGAGAGGACUGAGUCUCGGAGAAGAGAGGAAUCAGAAGUCGGCCGGGAUGGCUUGACCGAGGGGCCAGAAUCCAGAAAACCCAGAAAAAGAGUUUUGGUGUUUUUUGUUUUUCCCUUUUCCCAUUCUCCUCCCUAGGGCAGAAGCAAGCCCUGGAGUUCAGAAGAAAGCUGCAGGAGACAACGAGUGAAAGAGAUCAGAUCCUGUGAAAAGCUCCCUUGGAAAUUGUCUGCAUAGACCUGUAUGCGUACCCUUUGUUAAGCUCAAACCACUACAUGUAUGUUAAAUAUCACUGUAAGUGGAACAGAACUGGGUGGAUCUGUCUGGAAAACUCCUGUCCCGUUUUCCCCACCCUCUGACAGAGGCUGACAGUGGUUGAUGGGAUUUGGAGCAGAUCCAGACACACAGAUAGGUCUUAGUGCACAAGGAAGAGAAGUAAUUUGGUGAAGUGAAAGAAAGAAUUUGGAUCCAGAACUCUAUUCAGGAAAUUACAGCAGUGUUCGAAGCAGAUCUGGAUACUAGGCCAGAUGCAGCUGUACUACAUCCAGAUGCUGGAACCCCCUGUGGGAGUGGAAGGGGCUGUAGGUGGAGAGAAUCCCACUGUUAAUCCUAGGCAAAGGGAAGAUGACUCAAAGGAGGAGCUUUUGAACCCUGGCUAAAAAUGUGCCAGCUGAUGUGCCAGAAGCAAGAAGAAGAUAGUUGCUGGAGAGAAGCUGAGAGAUGGAGAGAUUAGAGAGGGGGGCUUGUCUAGGAGAGCUUUUUAAAAAUUAAUUGCAUUUAAUGUUUUGAAAGAAUAUAAGGGAAAAGAAAAAUAUAAGUAAGAAAAAUACAGGCCAUGUAGGAAAAACAGGAAGCAAGAUACAGAUAAUUAUCCCUAUUGGACUUGGGAUUGUACAUACCUGGUUAACACAUUACAAAUCGCACUAUAAACAAAAAGGAAUACUUUCACUGAGGUUUUUUUUUCUGAUUGAUUGAUUCUGUACCCUCAAGUCAUUUUGGACUCCUAGCAACCACAUAGAUAGAUUUUAUCCAUGGUGAUCUAUCCCUAACCGGGUCUUUCAAGUCUCUCAAUGGCGUCCCUGUUGCCACUGUAACUGAGUCCACCCACCUUGCUGCCGGUCAUUCGAAGUAGGAUAAUUUGAGCCUGGUUGUUGGGAAAAAACACAGUUCUGUAGACAAGAAAACCCAAGCUUUGCACGUGGCACAAGUCCAUAUAACAAUAUAAGCCAAGAAUGGUUUCCAAAUAGAAUUAAAUUCUCCUCAGAUUUACUUUUUAUGUAGCAAGUAAGAGAGGGACAUUAGUGACAUUUAAUUAGAGGCAUCCAGAAAUGGGAGCAAAAUCUUCUUCCCCGCCCUGUGACAGGAUAUGAAAAUCCCAGGUUUGCAGAAAGGGAGGAUAUAGAAUCCUUCCUUAUCAUGGUUGAAAGGGGGGCAGCCACAGGUCCCUGGCCAGAACAGGGAUGGGCAACAGGAUCGCCUCCAGCCUUACUGGAGAAGCCCUCCAAGCUUGCUCCAGCUUGCCUGCCAGAGACAUUGCAGAUUAUGAAAAAGUGAAAAAGACUCUCACAGUGCUAUCAAGUAAUGAAACAUGCCACUUUUACAUUGAGAGCACAGUUACAAUAUAUUGAAAUAACUGAUGGGAAACUUUAUUGUACCAGGCAUAAUUUAUAUGCUCUGUAAGUAAGAUCCAUGUGUUUUAUACGUUCAGCUGACAUUGCAGUUUGUGGCUGAUGCCUCUUUGGUUUUCGGCUCUGUGAAAGGUCUGCAGACCAAAAUGUAAUUAAAAUUCUGUAAUGAAUUGCACAUACAUGGAGAGAUUUCGGGAACAUCCAUAUGGAGCUUGGGAAGAAGUCAGAGAUCUGUGGGGCUGAUCGGAAGACUUAGGUGGUCCCUGGUUACCCCCAGAGUAAAGGUGUCCAGGGGAAAUAACGGAACAAGGCGGGUUGGAACAGUUCCUAAACACUCUGCCAGGACCAGGG
Non-coding RNA from Python bivittatus (Burmese python), 3708 nucleotides. The record is from RefSeq and is a predicted model, not a curated record. NCBI's taxonomy places the organism in Eukaryota, Metazoa, Chordata, Lepidosauria, Squamata, Pythonidae.